RNAcentral lists this transfer RNA (22 nucleotides) under Ceylonthelphusa diva. RNAcentral's name for it is "partial tRNA-Val". Lineage: Eukaryota; Metazoa; Arthropoda; Malacostraca; Decapoda; Parathelphusidae. The record is from RNAcentral.
UCGUGCAAAUCGAUUUACUUUG